Molecule: ribosomal RNA, 2778 nt
Filed under: Vibrio paracholerae VCC19
Lineage: Bacteria; Pseudomonadati; Pseudomonadota; Gammaproteobacteria; Vibrionales; Vibrionaceae
Description: bacterial LSU rRNA
Rfam family: Bacterial large subunit ribosomal RNA
Source: RNAcentral
AGCGUACACGGUGGAUGCCUAGGCAGUCAGAGGCGAUGAAGGACGUACUAACUUGCGAUAAGCGCAGAUAAGGCAGUAAGAGCCGUUUGAGUCUGCGAUUUCCGAAUGGGGAAACCCAACUGCAUAAGCAGUUACUGUUAACUGAAUACAUAGGUUAACAGAGCAAACCGGGGGGAACUGAAACAUCUAAGUACCCCGAGGAGAAGAAAUCAACCGAGAUUCCGGUAGUAGCGGCGAGCGAACCUGGAUUAGCCCUUAAGCACUCGGUGAAGUAGGUGAACAAGCUGGAAAGCUUGGCGAUACAGGGUGAUAGCCCCGUAACCGACGCUUCAUCGAGCGUGAAAUCGAGUAGGGCGGGACACGUGAUAUCCUGUCUGAAUAUGGGGGGACCAUCCUCCAAGGCUAAAUACUCCUGACUGACCGAUAGUGAACCAGUACCGUGAGGGAAAGGCGAAAAGAACCCCUGUGAGGGGAGUGAAAUAGAACCUGAAACCGUGUACGUACAAGCAGUAGGAGCACCUUCGUGGUGUGACUGCGUACCUUUUGUAUAAUGGGUCAGCGACUUAUAUUCAGUGGCAAGGUUAACCGUAUAGGGGAGCCGUAGCGAAAGCGAGUCUUAACUGGGCGCUCAGUCUCUGGAUAUAGACCCGAAACCGGGUGAUCUAGCCAUGGGCAGGUUGAAGGUUGAGUAACAUCAACUGGAGGACCGAACCGACUAAUGUUGAAAAAUUAGCGGAUGACUUGUGGCUAGGGGUGAAAGGCCAAUCAAACUCGGAGAUAGCUGGUUCUCCCCGAAAGCUAUUUAGGUAGCGCCUCGGACGAAUACUACUGGGGGUAGAGCACUGUUAAGGCUAGGGGGUCAUCCCGACUUACCAACCCUUUGCAAACUCCGAAUACCAGUAAGUACUAUCCGGGAGACACACGGCGGGUGCUAACGUCCGUCGUGGAGAGGGAAACAACCCAGACCGCCAGCUAAGGUCCCAAAGUAUUGCUAAGUGGGAAACGAUGUGGGAAGGCUCAGACAGCUAGGAUGUUGGCUUAGAAGCAGCCAUCAUUUAAAGAAAGCGUAAUAGCUCACUAGUCGAGUCGGCCUGCGCGGAAGAUGUAACGGGGCUAAGCAAUACACCGAAGCUGCGGCAAUAUCUUUUAGAUAUUGGGUAGGGGAGCGUUCUGUAAGCCGUUGAAGGUGGGUCUGUAAGGGCUGCUGGAGGUAUCAGAAGUGCGAAUGCUGACAUGAGUAACGACAAAGGGGGUGAAAAACCUCCUCGCCGGAAGACCAAGGGUUCCUGUCCAACGUUAAUCGGGGCAGGGUGAGUCGACCCCUAAGGUGAGGCCGAAAGGCGUAAUCGAUGGGAAACGGGUUAAUAUUCCCGUACUUCUGACUAUUGCGAUGGGGGGACGGAGAAGGCUAGGUGGGCCAGGCGACGGUUGUCCUGGUUCAAGUGCGUAGGCUUGAGAGUUAGGUAAAUCCGGCUCUCUUUAAGGCUGAGACACGACGUCGAGCUGCUACGGCAGUGAAGUCAUUGAUGCCAUGCUUCCAGGAAAAGCCUCUAAGCUUCAGAUAGUCAGGAAUCGUACCCCAAACCGACACAGGUGGUCGGGUAGAGAAUACCAAGGCGCUUGAGAGAACUCGGGUGAAGGAACUAGGCAAAAUGGUACCGUAACUUCGGGAGAAGGUACGCUCUUGAUGGUGAAGUCCCUUGCGGAUGGAGCUGACGAGAGUCGCAGAUACCAGGUGGCUGCAACUGUUUAUUAAAAACACAGCACUGUGCAAAAUCGCAAGAUGACGUAUACGGUGUGACGCCUGCCCGGUGCCGGAAGGUUAAUUGAUGGGGUUAGCGCAAGCGAAGCUCUUGAUCGAAGCCCCGGUAAACGGCGGCCGUAACUAUAACGGUCCUAAGGUAGCGAAAUUCCUUGUCGGGUAAGUUCCGACCUGCACGAAUGGCGUAAUGAUGGCCACGCUGUCUCCACCCGAGACUCAGUGAAAUUGAAAUCGCUGUGAAGAUGCAGUGUACCCGCGGCUAGACGGAAAGACCCCGUGAACCUUUACUACAGCUUGGCACUGAACAUUGAACCUACAUGUGUAGGAUAGGUGGGAGGCUAUGAAGACGUGACGCUAGUUGCGUUGGAGCCGUCCUUGAAAUACCACCCUUGUAUGUUUGAUGUUCUAACUUAGCCCCUGAGGACAGUGCCUGGUGGGUAGUUUGACUGGGGCGGUCUCCUCCCAAAGAGUAACGGAGGAGCACGAAGGUGGGCUAAUCACGGUUGGACAUCGUGAGGUUAGUGCAAUGGCAUAAGCCCGCUUAACUGCGAGAAUGACGGUUCGAGCAGGUGCGAAAGCAGGUCAUAGUGAUCCGGUGGUUCUGUAUGGAAGGGCCAUCGCUCAACGGAUAAAAGGUACUCCGGGGAUAACAGGCUGAUACCGCCCAAGAGUUCAUAUCGACGGCGGUGUUUGGCACCUCGAUGUCGGCUCAUCACAUCCUGGGGCUGAAGUCGGUCCCAAGGGUAUGGCUGUUCGCCAUUUAAAGUGGUACGCGAGCUGGGUUUAGAACGUCGUGAGACAGUUCGGUCCCUAUCUGCCGUGGGCGUUGGAAGAUUGAAGGGGGCUGCUCCUAGUACGAGAGGACCGGAGUGGACGAACCUCUGGUGUUCGGGUUGUGUCGCCAGACGCAUUGCCCGGUAGCUAAGUUCGGAAUUGAUAAGCGCUGAAAGCAUCUAAGCGCGAAGCGAGCCCUGAGAUGAGUCUUCCCUGACGGUUUAACCGUCCUAAAGGGUUGU